GGUGCUUGAGCUGGUGGACGUGCUCCAUGCACCAAAUCAAUCCGAUGAUCAAUUCUCCUCUUUGGCGGCAAUUGCUUGGGUAAUUCGGGGGGGCAUCACAUCCCUAAACUCAGUGAGAACACCCUUGAUGGGUGCUGGAAUCUCCUCUCCUUCCAAUAGAUCUUCCUCCUAAAGGGAUGCAAUAUAUGUUGGAAGUCCCCUUCUCAGCCCCUUGAUGAUGAAUCUCCUGUAGUAAUUUGCCAAUCCAAGAAAAGAGUGCAAGUGUGU
This 267-nucleotide long non-coding RNA is filed under the name Elaeis guineensis (African oil palm). RNAcentral's name for it is "long non-coding RNA (EGUI_LNC054103)". The record is from RNAcentral. Lineage: Eukaryota; Viridiplantae; Streptophyta; Magnoliopsida; Arecales; Arecaceae.